Lemur catta (Ring-tailed lemur) is the source of this 302-nucleotide long non-coding RNA. RefSeq lists it as uncharacterized. The transcript has 3 exons. The record is from RefSeq and is a predicted model, not a curated record. NCBI's taxonomy places the organism in Eukaryota, Metazoa, Chordata, Mammalia, Primates, Lemuridae.
CCUCCUCCUCUCUCACAUGUGACCUUAAAUCCUGAGGACUCAUGGAAUUCAGAGUCAGUCAGACCUGGGUUUGAAUCUAGCCCCAUCUCUUCUCAGCUGUGCAUUUCGGUGACUGCUGUAGAGACAUCGGAGUUGCAGAAAACACUGCCCCGUCCUUAUGGCAUUUACAGCCUAAUGAGUAGGAAGGCUUUCUGCAAAUGGAAGAAAAAUCUCAGUGCCUUUAAUACUUCCCUCUCUCCUGUCACCUUUAUGACUUAUGCUGCCAAAAGUAAUCAUUUUUAAUGAGAAUUCUCAACCAUAAA